RNAcentral lists this ribosomal RNA (557 nucleotides) under uncultured Geobacteraceae bacterium. Its description in RNAcentral is "bacterial SSU rRNA". It matches the Rfam family "Bacterial small subunit ribosomal RNA", at positions 1 to 526 of the family's 1533-position model. The record is from RNAcentral. Lineage: Bacteria; Pseudomonadati; Thermodesulfobacteriota; Desulfuromonadia; Geobacterales; Geobacteraceae.
YUUUYYSGWWMGCCCUUAGAGUUUGAUCCUGGCUCAGAACGAACGCUGGCGGCGUGCUUAACACAUGCAAGUCGAACGUGAUCCAGAGCUUGCUCUGGUGAAAGUGGCGCACGGGUGAGUAACGCGUGGAUAACCUGCCCUGGUAUCUGGGAUAACAUCUCGAAAGGGGUGCUAAUACCGGAUAAGCCUACGGGAUCUUCGGAUUCUGCAGGAAAAGGAGGCCUCUAUUUAUAAGCUACCGUAUCAGGAUGAGUCCGCGUACCAUUAGCUAGUUGGUGGGGUAAUGGCCCACCAAGGCUACGAUGGUUAGCUGGUCUGGGAGGAUGAUCAGCCACACUGGAACUGAGACACGGUCCAGACUCCUACGGGAGGCAGCAGUGGGGAAUUUUGCGCAAUGGGGGAAACCCUGACGCAGCAACGCCGCGUGAGUGAUGAAGGCUUUCGGGUCGUAAAGCUCUGUCAGAGGGGAAGAAAUGAGUCUGGCUAAUAUCCAGAUUUCUUGACGGUACCCUCAAAGGAAGCACCGGCUAACUACGUGCCAGCAGCCGCGGUAAUAC